GACGAACGCUGGCGGCGUGCUUAACACAUGCAAGUCGAACGAAGAGCGAUGGACGCUUGCUUCUAUCAAUCUUAGUGGCGAACGGGUGAGUAACGCGUAAUCAACCUGCCCUUCAGAGGGGGACAACAGUUGGAAACGACUGCUAAUACCGCAUACGAUCUGACCUCGGCAUCGAGGAUAGAUGAAAGGUGGCCUCUACAUGUAAGCUAUCACUGAAGGAGGGGAUUGCGUCUGAUUAGCUAGUUGGAGGGGUAACGGCCCACCAAGGCGAUGAUCAGUAGCCGGUCUGAGAGGAUGAACGGCCACAUUGGGACUGAGACACGGCCCAGACUCCUACGGGAGGCAGCAGUGGGGAAUCUUCCGCAAUGGACGAAAGUCUGACGGAGCAACGCCGCGUGAGUGAUGACGGCCUUCGGGUUGUAAAGCUCUGUUAAUCGGGACGAAAGGCCUUUUUGCGAAUAGUGAGAAGGAUUGACGGUACCGGAAUAGAAAGCCACGGCUAACUACGUG
This 510-nucleotide ribosomal RNA is filed under the name uncultured bacterium. RNAcentral's name for it is "partial 16S ribosomal RNA". It matches the Rfam family "Bacterial small subunit ribosomal RNA", at positions 28 to 507 of the family's 1533-position model. The record is from RNAcentral.